RNAcentral lists this ribosomal RNA (2786 nucleotides) under Escherichia coli. RNAcentral's name for it is "bacterial LSU rRNA". It matches the Rfam family "Bacterial large subunit ribosomal RNA". Lineage: Bacteria; Pseudomonadati; Pseudomonadota; Gammaproteobacteria; Enterobacterales; Enterobacteriaceae. The record is from RNAcentral.
AGCGUACACGGUGGAUGCCCUGGCAGUCAGAGGCGAUGAAGGACGUGCUAAUCUGCGAUAAGCGUCGGUAAGGUGAUAUGAACCGUUAUAACCGGCGAUUUCCGAAUGGGGAAACCCAGUGUGAUUCGUCACACUAUCAUUAACUGAAUCCAUAGGUUAAUGAGGCGAACCGGGGGAACUGAAACAUCUAAGUACCCCGAGGAAAAGAAAUCAACCGAGAUUCCCCCAGUAGCGGCGAGCGAACGGGGAGCAGCCCAGAGCCUGAAUCAGUGUGUGUGUUAGUGGAAGCGUCUGGAAAGGCGUGCGAUACAGGGUGACAGCCCCGUACACAAAAAUGCACAUGCUGUGAGCUCGAUGAGUAGGGCGGGACACGUGGUAUCCUGUCUGAAUAUGGGGGGACCAUCCUCCAAGGCUAAAUACUCCUGACUGACCGAUAGUGAACCAGUACCGUGAGGGAAAGGCGAAAAGAACCCCGGCGAGGGGAGUGAAAAAGAACCUGAAACCGUGUACGUACAAGCAGUGGGAGCACGCUUAGGCGUGUGACUGCGUACCUUUUGUAUAAUGGGUCAGCGACUUAUAUUCUGUAGCAAGGUUAACCGAAUAGGGGAGCCGAAGGGAAACCGAGUCUUAACUGGGCGUUAAGUUGCAGGGUAUAGACCCGAAACCCGGUGAUCUAGCCAUGGGCAGGUUGAAGGUUGGGUAACACUAACUGGAGGACCGAACCGACUAAUGUUGAAAAAUUAGCGGAUGACUUGUGGCUGGGGGUGAAAGGCCAAUCAAACCGGGAGAUAGCUGGUUCUCCCCGAAAGCUAUUUAGGUAGCGCCUCGUGAAUUCAUCUCCGGGGGUAGAGCACUGUUUCGGCAAGGGGGUCAUCCCGACUUACCAACCCGAUGCAAACUGCGAAUACCGGAGAAUGUUAUCACGGGAGACACACGGCGGGUGCUAACGUCCGUCGUGAAGAGGGAAACAACCCAGACCGCCAGCUAAGGUCCCAAAGUCAUGGUUAAGUGGGAAACGAUGUGGGAAGGCCCAGACAGCCAGGAUGUUGGCUUAGAAGCAGCCAUCAUUUAAAGAAAGCGUAAUAGCUCACUGGUCGAGUCGGCCUGCGCGGAAGAUGUAACGGGGCUAAACCAUGCACCGAAGCUGCGGCAGCGACACUAUGUGUUGUUGGGUAGGGGAGCGUUCUGUAAGCCUGCGAAGGUGUGCUGUGAGGCAUGCUGGAGGUAUCAGAAGUGCGAAUGCUGACAUAAGUAACGAUAAAGCGGGUGAAAAGCCCGCUCGCCGGAAGACCAAGGGUUCCUGUCCAACGUUAAUCGGGGCAGGGUGAGUCGACCCCUAAGGCGAGGCCGAAAGGCGUAGUCGAUGGGAAACAGGUUAAUAUUCCUGUACUUGGUGUUACUGCGAAGGGGGGACGGAGAAGGCUAUGUUGGCCGGGCGACGGUUGUCCCGGUUUAAGCGUGUAGGCUGGUUUUCCAGGCAAAUCCGGAAAAUCAAGGCUGAGGCGUGAUGACGAGGCACUACGGUGCUGAAGCAACAAAUGCCCUGCUUCCAGGAAAAGCCUCUAAGCAUCAGGUAACAUCAAAUCGUACCCCAAACCGACACAGGUGGUCAGGUAGAGAAUACCAAGGCGCUUGAGAGAACUCGGGUGAAGGAACUAGGCAAAAUGGUGCCGUAACUUCGGGAGAAGGCACGCUGAUAUGUAGGUGAAGUCCCUCGCGGAUGGAGCUGAAAUCAGUCGAAGAUACCAGCUGGCUGCAACUGUUUAUUAAAAACACAGCACUGUGCAAACACGAAAGUGGACGUAUACGGUGUGACGCCUGCCCGGUGCCGGAAGGUUAAUUGAUGGGGUUAGCGCAAGCGAAGCUCUUGAUCGAAGCCCCGGUAAACGGCGGCCGUAACUAUAACGGUCCUAAGGUAGCGAAAUUCCUUGUCGGGUAAGUUCCGACCUGCACGAAUGGCGUAAUGAUGGCCAGGCUGUCUCCACCCGAGACUCAGUGAAAUUGAACUCGCUGUGAAGAUGCAGUGUACCCGCGGCAAGACGGAAAGACCCCGUGAACCUUUACUAUAGCUUGACACUGAACAUUGAGCCUUGAUGUGUAGGAUAGGUGGGAGGCUUUGAAGUGUGGACGCCAGUCUGCAUGGAGCCGACCUUGAAAUACCACCCUUUAAUGUUUGAUGUUCUAACGUUGACCCGUAAUCCGGGUUGCGGACAGUGUCUGGUGGGUAGUUUGACUGGGGCGGUCUCCUCCUAAAGAGUAACGGAGGAGCACGAAGGUUGGCUAAUCCUGGUCGGACAUCAGGAGGUUAGUGCAAUGGCAUAAGCCAGCUUGACUGCGAGCGUGACGGCGCGAGCAGGUGCGAAAGCAGGUCAUAGUGAUCCGGUGGUUCUGAAUGGAAGGGCCAUCGCUCAACGGAUAAAAGGUACUCCGGGGAUAACAGGCUGAUACCGCCCAAGAGUUCAUAUCGACGGCGGUGUUUGGCACCUCGAUGUCGGCUCAUCACAUCCUGGGGCUGAAGUAGGUCCCAAGGGUAUGGCUGUUCGCCAUUUAAAGUGGUACGCGAGCUGGGUUUAGAACGUCGUGAGACAGUUCGGUCCCUAUCUGCCGUGGGCGCUGGAGAACUGAGGGGGGCUGCUCCUAGUACGAGAGGACCGGAGUGGACGCAUCACUGGUGUUCGGGUUGUCAUGCCAAUGGCACUGCCCGGUAGCUAAAUGCGGAAGAGAUAAGUGCUGAAAGCAUCUAAGCACGAAACUUGCCCCGAGAUGAGUUCUCCCUGACUCCUUGA